Molecule: ribosomal RNA, 450 nt
Filed under: uncultured bacterium
Lineage: Bacteria
Description: bacterial SSU rRNA
Rfam family: Bacterial small subunit ribosomal RNA
Source: RNAcentral
GUGGGGAAUAUUGGACAAUGGGCGAAAGCCUGAUCCAGCCAUGCCGCGUGUGUGAAGAAGGUCUUCGGAUUGUAAAGCACUUUAAGUUGGGAGGAAGGGCAGUAAGUUAAUACCUUGCUGUUUUGACGUUACCGACAGAAUAAGCACCGGCUAACUUCGUGCCAGCAGCCGCGGUAAUACGAAGGGUGCAAGCGUUAAUCGGAAUUACUGGGCGUAAACCGCGCGUAGGUGGUUUUGUAAGUUGGAGGUGAAAUCCCCGGGCUCAACCUGGGAACUGCCUCCAAAACUGCAUGACUAGAGUACGGUAGAGGGUAGUGGAAUUUCCUGUGUAGCGGUGAAAUGCGUAGAUAUAGGAAGGAACACCAGUGGCGAAGGCGACUACCUGGACUGAUACUGACACUGAGGUGCGAAAGCGUGGGGAGCAAACAGGAUUAGAAACCCUGGUAGUCC